UACACAGGGUGGCUGCUACAGGCUUUCCUGUUGCCUUCAGAACCUGGACGGCCCAUUCAGCCUCCUCCACGUGCUCGAAGUACUGCAGAUCAAUCCAUCACUCAAUCACUCAAUCAAUCAUUGAGAUCUCACGUGAGGGUUGUGUCUGCACGUUCUCACCUCGGCGAUCAGGAAGUCCACGUUCUUCUUGAUGAAGACGUCGAUCUGCUUCUUGAAGAUCUUCUUGACCUCGUCUUCGCUCUUGCAGCUGAGGUAGGAAGGUGUCUGAGAGACUCCGCCCGCCACCAGAGCAUCGCCCUCAUUG
Carassius carassius (crucian carp) is the source of this 304-nucleotide long non-coding RNA. RefSeq lists it as uncharacterized. Lineage: Eukaryota; Metazoa; Chordata; Actinopteri; Cypriniformes; Cyprinidae. The record is from RefSeq and is a predicted model, not a curated record. The transcript has 2 exons.